Molecule: transfer RNA, 75 nt
Filed under: candidate division CPR3 bacterium GWF2_35_18
Lineage: Bacteria; candidate division CPR3
Also listed under: 3 other names
Description: tRNA-Asn
Rfam family: tRNA
About the family: Transfer RNA (tRNA) molecules are approximately 80 nucleotides in length. Their secondary structure includes four short double-helical elements and three loops (D, anti-codon, and T loops).
Source: RNAcentral
UCCGCGGUAGCUCAAUGGUAGAGCAGAUCCCUGUUAAGGAUAAGGUUACAGGUUCGAGUCCUGUCCGCGGAGCCA